RNAcentral lists this transfer RNA (76 nucleotides) under Fidelibacterota bacterium. RNAcentral's name for it is "tRNA-Ala". It matches the Rfam family "tRNA". From Rfam's summary of the family: Transfer RNA (tRNA) molecules are approximately 80 nucleotides in length. Their secondary structure includes four short double-helical elements and three loops (D, anti-codon, and T loops). Further hydrogen bonds mediate the characteristic L-shaped molecular structure. tRNAs have two regions of fundamental functional importance: the anti-codon, which is responsible for specific mRNA codon recognition, and the 3' end, to which the tRNAs corresponding amino acid is attached (by aminoacyl-tRNA synthetases). tRNAs cope with the degeneracy of the genetic code in two manners: having more than one tRNA (with a specific anti-codon) for a particular amino acid; and 'wobble' base-pairing, i.e. permitting non-standard base-pairing at the 3rd anti-codon position. The record is from RNAcentral. Lineage: Bacteria; Pseudomonadati; Fidelibacterota.
GGGGCUAUAGCUCAGCUGGUAGAGCGCCUGCUUUGCAAGCAGGAUGUCAGGAGUUCGAGUCUCCUUAGCUCCACCA